This is a long non-coding RNA of Rosa rugosa (rugosa rose), 371 nucleotides long. RefSeq lists it as uncharacterized. The record is from RefSeq and is a predicted model, not a curated record. The transcript has 3 exons. Lineage: Eukaryota; Viridiplantae; Streptophyta; Magnoliopsida; Rosales; Rosaceae.
UACAGUAGCCGCACCAAAACAGAGGGCUGCUCUCUUUCCUCUCCUCUUUAUAUUUUCUUUUGGAGAUUUAAAGGAAUUUCUCACACAAGCUUCAAGGAGACAUCAAGAGCUACAAGAUUCAAGCUUUAGUAUUGGUUCUAUCAAAAGACUGGAAAAAUCAAGCCAAUAUCUGGAAGGGAGAAGGAAGAGCAUGAGAUUAGAAAAUGGGACAUCGAGAGGCUGAUACAGAAUUGGACAAGCUUUAACAGCUUGAAAAAACUAAUUAAAAUCUUCGAAAAGCUGAAGGAGGAUCGAGAGGAAUCAAAAUCCGAGGAAGAGGAGAAUAGAUCAGAUGAAGCAAAGACAGCUCCGGAAGGAGAGGAAAAAGGAGA